UGGUCAAGUUAUUAAGGGUGCAGGGCGGAUGCCUUGGCACUAGGAGCCGAUGAAGGACGUGAUAAGCUGCGAUAAGCUUCGGGGAGUUGCACGUAAACUUUGAUCCGAAGAUUUCCGAAUGAGGAAACUCACUUAGAGUAAUGUCUAAGUAUCAUUAAGUGAAUACAUAGCUUAAUGAGGGGAACUCAGGGAACUGAAACAUCUAAGUACCUGAAGGAAGAGAAAGAAAUUCGAUUCCGUAAGUAGCGGCGAGCGAACGCGGAUUAGCCCAAACCAAUAAAGUUUUCUUUAUUGGGGUUGCGGACAUAUCAUAACGAAGAGGUAUCGUAAUUGAAGAGGUUUGGAAAGACCCACCACAGAAGGUAAUAGUCCUGUAUGUUAAACGAGAAGACUUUAGAUAUGAUCCAGAGUACCACGGGACACGUGAAACCCUGUGGGAAG
Molecule: ribosomal RNA, 441 nt
Filed under: Clostridioides difficile
Lineage: Bacteria; Bacillati; Bacillota; Clostridia; Peptostreptococcales; Peptostreptococcaceae
Description: partial 23S ribosomal RNA
Rfam family: Bacterial large subunit ribosomal RNA
Source: RNAcentral